UUGCGUGUUUUAACCAGUUCAACGUGAUGCAAAACGGUUAACAGGACAUCCUAUUCGCAUCUCCAAUGGCGAUAUCGGUUGCGCAGCCGAUCUUUCGUCUCCUUCCUUGCGAGAUUUUUGUUAUGCAAAACGGUAGAGUUCGACAAUAAAAAGGCAUCUUUUAUCCUGUUAUACAAUAAUGGCUUCCACGGCGUCUCACAUACUCCCAAUCUCGACUUCCCAAACGGUUCUCUCUGCCGCUCCUUCUUCCGUCGAAUCUCAACCACCCAUCGCUACCCCUUAUUCCCGUCUUCAUCAACCAAGUCUCAGAAACUAUCACGAUCGGAUCUUUGUGCUUUUCCUCAACGAUGUUGGAUCUGUUUUUGUCUCGGCUGUGAUGGUCGGAGUUGUGUUGAUCUGUGCUCACAGAGAGUUUAGGGCUCCGAAAGAUCUUUUAUUGGAUGCGAAGAGCAAGAUCUUUCCUUUUGUUUAUUUUUAAGUUUAAGAUUCAGGAAAUAUCAUUUUGGUUAAAUUUUAUUUGAUUCCUGGAUUGGUGAUUUAAGCUCUAGGGUUAGGGUUCCUUUAAAAUUUUGGAUUCUUUAGAUAGUUUUUCAUUAUACUCUAAUUAAAUCCUCCUUAGAGCUCUCAUUGUUCUUAUUCAUUACCAAAGCUGGUGAUAUCUGUUUGUUAAGUGUUAGUGUGAGUCUGUGGAUUGAUUGUUAAUUAAUAAGCAAAUUGAACUGGAUAACCUUCACGCCAAACAACUAAAAUGGUUCUGUUUUUUCUUACAGGUUAAAAAUUAGUUUUUAAACAAAAUUUUGACGUUUGCAAGAGCUCAACCUGAAGCAUUCAAGACGGAUAUGUUAUUGCAGUAAGCUCGCCAAACUUAUAUUUUUACUGGAAUAGUCAGGUGUUGUCAUAGCAGGAGAGGAAUAAAAUUAUUUUCCAGUUGAGGGCAUGGUCGCAUUCAACAUCUUCUGGGAGCAUGGCAUAACCGAAGAAUCUUCAGAUUUUCUUGGACAAAGAAACCGGUUUCCAUAUAAGAUCAAAGCUUUUGACCGGUUAAAGGCAAAGCUGCUUGAAAGAUUUCACUCACAACUCAGUCUUGUCUGAACUUGAAGCGAACGCUGUGGUAAUUGAGUUAAGACAAUUUCAGGUUCCAUUCAUUCAAAGCAAAUUGUGGGUCUCAGAGGUCAUCGUCAUGACGCUGGAUGGACGAGAGGGAGAGUGAAAGUAGCUGCUGGUUCAAUGAUGUCCUUCAAUACUACGGUUCUGCUGUUCUUAUCAAUGUGCCAAUGACGUUGAGUCUUAUCUCGACAUGGUCUGUGGAUGUACUUCUGGACUACUUACAGAAAUGAUAAAAAUGGUCAUUCUCCUAUAACCUUUUGUUAAAAAUUAUAGUCUUUCAGUAAUUGUCAAGUUUUGCAUUGAACAACCCUUCUCUUGAGAUGUUGUAUUAGAUUGUGCUGUCAAGUAGAAGCUUAUAUUGACUGAGGAAAUGCGAUAUAAAGAUCAUAUAAAAUAUUGUAAACUACGUUUUGUCUCUGGUUUUAAUGUGUUUUUUAUACAUAAAACUUU
Raphanus sativus (radish) is the source of this 1557-nucleotide long non-coding RNA. RefSeq lists it as uncharacterized. Lineage: Eukaryota; Viridiplantae; Streptophyta; Magnoliopsida; Brassicales; Brassicaceae. The record is from RefSeq and is a predicted model, not a curated record. The transcript is spliced from 5 exons.